GUGGCGUGUGGCUGUGCUUAGACACACAGCACAUGUCACCUCUGUCCUUGGGGUUCUGUGCUGUGCCAGGCACCAGCCCUCAGUCCAGAGCUCUGGGCUUCUCCUGCCGUGCCCUGCUGGGCUCCGCUGUGACCUCUCCUGGCCACGGAGAGACUGGAGAGACACCCACUGGCGAGGACGGGGUGCCCAGCAGAUAAGACAAGCCCACGGCCGACAGGAAAGAUCCCCAGGACACAGAACGAGGCCACUCUGCUCACUGAGCUGAAUUUUGCCUAGGAAGAAGGGAGCACCGUCCAGGGCGGCUGCCCACGGGCAGGCUCAGCCGGGAGAGUGCACGACCAGACCCGGGGGGCAUCUGAGCCCAUCUAGCUGUCGUGAAUCAUCCAUGUGAAGUCUAUGGGCUCUGCUCCUGUUGUGUUUUAGUGAGUGGAUAAAUAACUUCCAAACAU
Molecule: non-coding RNA, 449 nt
Organism: Ictidomys tridecemlineatus (thirteen-lined ground squirrel)
Lineage: Eukaryota; Metazoa; Chordata; Mammalia; Rodentia; Sciuridae
Source: RefSeq, a predicted model, not a curated record